Molecule: ribosomal RNA, 460 nt
Filed under: uncultured bacterium
Lineage: Bacteria
Description: bacterial SSU rRNA
Rfam family: Bacterial small subunit ribosomal RNA
Source: RNAcentral
AACGAACGCUGGCGGCAGGCCUAACACAUGCAAGUCGAGCGGGGGAGCAGUCCCUAGCGGCGGACGGGUGAGUAACGCGUGGGAACGUACCCUUUGCUUCGGAAUAGCCCCGGGAAACUGGGAGUAAUACCGGAUGUGCCCUACGGGGGAAAGAAUUUCGGCAAAGGAUCGGCCCGCGUUGGAUUAGGUAGUUGGUGGGGUAAUGGCCUACCAAGCCGACGAUCCAUAGCUGGUUUGAGAGGAUGAUCAGCCACACUGGGACUGAGACACGGCCCAGACUCCUACGGGAGGCAGCAGUGGGGAAUCUUAGACAAUGGGCGCAAGCCUGAUCUAGCCAUGCCGCGUGAGCGAUGAAGGCCUUAGGGUUGUAAAGCUCUUUCGUGGGGGAAGAUAAUGACGGUACCCCAAGAAGAAGCCCCGGCUAACUCCGUGCCAGCAGCCGCGGUAAUCUGAGUCGGAG